This 768-nucleotide ribosomal RNA is filed under the name uncultured bacterium. RNAcentral's name for it is "bacterial SSU rRNA". It matches the Rfam family "Bacterial small subunit ribosomal RNA", at positions 28 to 776 of the family's 1533-position model. The record is from RNAcentral.
GACGAACGCUGGCGGCGUGCCUAAUACAUGCAAGUCGAGCGAAGUUUUUCUGGUGCUUGCACUAGAAAAACUUAGCGGCGAACGGGUGAGUAACACGUAAAGAACCUGCCUCAUAGACUGGGACAACUAUUGGAAACGAUAGCUAAUACCGGAUAACAGCAUUAACUGCAUGGUUGAUGUUUAAAAGUUGGUUUUGCUAACACUAUGAGAUGGCCUUGCGGUGCAUUAGCUAGUUGGUGGGGUAAAGGCCUACCAAGGCGACGAUGCAUAGCCGACCUGAGAGGGUGAUCGGCCACACUGGGACUGAGACACGGCCCAGACUCCUACGGGAGGCAGCAGUAGGGAAUCUUCCGCAAUGGGCGAAAGCCUGACGGAGCAACGCCGCGUGAGUGAAGAAGGAUUUCGGUUCGUAAAGCUCUGUUGUUAGGGAAGAAUGAUUGUGUAGUAACUAUACACAGUAGAGACGGUACCUAACCAGAAAGCCACGGCUAACUACGUGCCAGCAGCCGCGGUAAUACGUAGGUGGCAAGCGUUGUCCGGAAUUAUUGGGCGUAAAGCGCGCGCAGGUGGUUUAAUAAGUCUGAUGUGAAAGCCCACGGCUCAACCGUGGAGGGUCAUUGGAAACUGUUAAACUUGAGUGCAGGAGAGAAAAGUGGAAUUCCUAGUGUAGCGGUGAAAUGCGUAGAGAUUAGGAGGAACACCAGUGGCGAAGGCGGCUUUUUGGCCUGUAACUGACACUGAGGCGCGAAAGCGUGGGGAGCAAACAGG